Long non-coding RNA from Scophthalmus maximus (turbot), 1274 nucleotides. RefSeq lists it as uncharacterized. The record is from RefSeq and is a predicted model, not a curated record. The transcript is spliced from 5 exons. NCBI's taxonomy places the organism in Eukaryota, Metazoa, Chordata, Actinopteri, Pleuronectiformes, Scophthalmidae.
CGAGGAGGGACGCAGGUGACGCGGAGCUCGUCCUCCCGCCGCGGGGCUGCCUGCCUCCGCCCGGUCGAACGGCAAACGAGGACACGGAGACUUUGAAUGUGUCUCCGCGCAGCCAGUCGACUGCACACACUUGACAGCACGACAGCCCGAUAAACGCCAUGCCCUCACUGCUCCAUCCAGCCACCGGGACCCCGGCCGGAUUAACCCGUUCCAGGGCCCCAGGGGGCCAAGAAAAAAAAAAGUGCUGUCUGGCGUCCCCCUGAAUCCACAACUCAUGCAGAGAGCAUAUAGAAACAAGAAAAGGUAAUUUUCUGAAGAAACUAGAAAAAGACAAUUUCUGGAGAAAUUGCGGAGUGAAUGCUGGCUGCUGGAUGAAGAAGCCGAAGCAGUAUGAAGAGGAGGAAAGUUUCUAGGUUGAACAUGUGAAAGGAGCAGCAGAGGGCCCCAAUGGAUGGAUUACUGAACAGAACAACUGGGCACAGGGUCCUCAAGGCCAAGGGGUCGGCAGGGAGACAGGAUCAGAGCACAUGUCUGUCCCCCAGGUUUUCUGUAAUUAAUGAAACACUGCUUUUUUUUCAUCACAACAGCACAAUGACAAACGUCUGCAGCAAUGGAAACCAAACAUUAAAGCAAAGUGACAGCUCUGCACCGCUUGCCUUUUCAAAUCACCACCAAUGACCUAUGACGUGACUUCAUAUUUGCUCUGCAAGGGCGGCUCAGCAGCGUUGUGUGUUGUUGCCACAGAGGCAGCUGGCGUCACUGUUACCACUGACCUCCCACGAGCUGAGGCCUCAGGGACCCCAGGAGUCAUGGAAGCCAGCAGCACCACCCAUGAGACGCAGGCCCUGUGUCUGAUGUAACAACCUGAAAUCAGCAGACUUUGUCACUGCAUCCCAUAUGUAGACUUCUUAAAAUAUGGCCUCGGAAAUCUUUGACUGACCUUUUGUUUGAACAUGAACCUCCCUUCAUUGUUUUUCUAGCUGGGCUCCAUAGAGAUGAUCAGUCUUCAGUCUCAUAUUAAUCUUUCACUCUAAUUGUCUCUUGCUCUCUUCCUGCCAACCUGUUUGAAAAGCCUCAAGAUUAGGAUUUCUGCAAAUAACUUAGUGUCAAAAGACACUGAAAUCAGAGAAGAGUACUUCAACGGUGACAAAGGACAAUUCUAAACAGAUUGAACCCGUCUUAUUGAAGCCGGAAUUUAAUCUUGAUGUUUGUGCAAAUCGUACAGCAGACCUUUUGAUGAAAUAAAAAGCUGUGAUGCUACAUGUAGCUCCAUG